CUGUGUUGCUUCUCAGAAAACCUCAAAGAUACCUGAUGCUAAGGGUCUUGUAGCAGUUACAGUCUGAGCUUGGGAGUUGGACAAAAGGAGUUAUUCUUGUCCUGUUUGUGAAAAGUCUUUUUCAGAGGAUCGAUUGAUAAAGUCACAUAUCAAGACCAACCAUCCUGAGGUCUCCAUGAGCACCAUUUCUGAGGUUCUCGGGAGGAGGGUUCAGCUGAAAGGGCUAAUUGGAAAGAGAGCCAUGAAAUGCCCAUAUUGUGACUUUUAUUUCAUGAAGAAUGGCUCAGACCUUCAGCGUCAUAUUUGGGCUCAUGAAGGUGUGAAGCCCUUCAAGUGUUCUUUGUGUGAGUAUGCAACUCGUAGCAAGAGUAACCUCAAGGCUCAUAUGAAUCGUCACAGCACUGAGAAAACCCACCUAUGUGACAUGUGUGGCAAGAAAUUCAAAUCAAAAGGGACACUGAAAAGUCACAAACUCCUUCACACUGCAGAUGGGAAGCAGUUUAAGUGCACGGUGUGUGACUACACAGCGGCCCAGAAGCCACAGCUGCUGCGGCACAUGGAACAGCAUGUCUCCUUCAAGCCUUUCCGCUGUGCCCAUUGCCAUUACUCCUGCAACAUAUCUGGCUCUCUGAAGCGGCACUACAACAGGAAGCACCCUAAUGAGGAGUAUGCCAACGUGGGCACCGGGGAGCUGGCGGCGGAGGUGCUCAUCCAGCAAGGUGGUUUGAAGUGUCCUGUUUGCAGCUUUGUAUAUGGCACCAAAUGGGAGUUCAAUAGGCACUUGAAGAACAAACAUGGCUUGAAGGUGGUGGAAAUUGAUGGAGACCCCAAGUGGGAGACAGCAACAGAAGCUCCUGAGGAGCCCU
This 866-nucleotide small RNA is filed under the name Pan troglodytes (chimpanzee). RNAcentral's name for it is "processed transcript". Lineage: Eukaryota; Metazoa; Chordata; Mammalia; Primates; Hominidae. The record is from RNAcentral.